AAGCAUUCAAAAGCUACGCACAACAUAAGAUGGUUCCUCCCUUCUUCUCAUGGCGAUCGUGGAGAGCGUAGUGGAGGUCUCCCAGGAGGAACGGUAUAGGGUUACCAGAGAGGAAGAUUCUCACCGCCAGGUUGUCCACAAAAUGGUCAAUAUUUGGGAAGAGAACUAUCCCAUAUACCAACACGGCUAACACAGCAUAGAAGGCUUCAC
Molecule: long non-coding RNA, 210 nt
Filed under: Lathyrus oleraceus (garden pea)
Lineage: Eukaryota; Viridiplantae; Streptophyta; Magnoliopsida; Fabales; Fabaceae
Description: Pisum sativum (pea) long non-coding RNA (PSAT_LNC012546)
Source: RNAcentral